RNAcentral lists this ribosomal RNA (464 nucleotides) under uncultured Klebsiella sp. RNAcentral's name for it is "bacterial SSU rRNA". It matches the Rfam family "Bacterial small subunit ribosomal RNA", at positions 338 to 795 of the family's 1533-position model. Lineage: Bacteria; Pseudomonadati; Pseudomonadota; Gammaproteobacteria; Enterobacterales; Enterobacteriaceae. The record is from RNAcentral.
CCUACGGGGGGCUGCAGUGGGGAAUAUUGCACAAUGGGCGCAAGCCUGAUGCAGCCAUGCCGCGUGUGUGAAGAAGGCCUUCGGGUUGUAAAGCACUUUCAGCGGGGAGGAAGGCGGUGAGGUUAAUAACCUCAUCGAUUGACGUUACCCGCAGAAGAAGCACCGGCUAACUCCGUGCCAGCAGCCGCGGUAAUACGGAGGGUGCAAGCGUUAAUCGGAAUUACUGGGCGUAAAGCGCACGCAGGCGGUCCGUCAAGUCGGAUGUGAAAUCCCCGGGCUCAACCUGGGAACUGCAUUCGAAACUGGCAGGCUAGAGUCUUGUAGAGGGGGGUAGAAUUCCAGGUGUAGCGGUGAAAUGCGUAGAGAUCUGGAGGAAUACCGGUGGCGAAGGCGGCCCCCUGGACAAAGACUGACGCUCAGGUGCGAAAGCGUGGGGAGCAAACAGGAUGAGAUACCCUAUAGUC